AGUCCCCAGCAUUCUCGGCACCCUGAAUCACAGUGUGACACUGGCUGUAGGCACCACAGAAGGGGCCCCAGGUCUGAAGACUCAGGGCGUAGGGAGAAAUCAAAGUGGAAUACGUGUCUGGCUUCACUUCUGUUAGAUGCUUGGUAUUGGGAGUUCUUCCUACAAUUCAUGAAGAAACUCCUGCUGCUCUUCCACGUACUUUAUCCUAGAAAGAGAACUUGUUCCACUGGCAGGAAAGACUUCUACUGGUGAAAGAAGGAGGUUUUCCCAGCUAGCCCCAUGUCUGUACUGCUGGGGAUUCAUCUCAACAUCUCCCAGCCUGAUUUUUCAUGCAAGAGAAGAAAGAAUACCUUCUCUAGAACCUCCUUUUGGGAAAAAGAGAAAGGAACCCACCUGUCUUUAUUUUAAAGGUCUGGAGAUUUGUUUCAACCUGCCCUUGUGAAUGGGUUGCCUGGUGUUUCAAAAAUCUCAAGGUAUUCAAUAAAGACGU
This is an RNA transcript of Capra hircus (goat), 490 nucleotides long. RefSeq lists it as uncharacterized. NCBI's taxonomy places the organism in Eukaryota, Metazoa, Chordata, Mammalia, Artiodactyla, Bovidae. The transcript is spliced from 3 exons. The record is from RefSeq and is a predicted model, not a curated record.